Molecule: ribosomal RNA, 389 nt
Filed under: Stramenopiles sp. MAST-1C
Lineage: Eukaryota
Description: partial small subunit ribosomal RNA
Rfam family: Eukaryotic small subunit ribosomal RNA
Source: RNAcentral
AUUCCAGCUCCAAUAGCGUAUAUUAAAGUUGUUGCAGUUAAAAAGCUCGUAGUUGGAUUUCUGGCAGGAGCGACCGGUCCGCCGCAAGGUGUGCACUAGGUUGUCUCCAGUCAUCUUUGUGGGAACUGCUCUGGCAUUAGUUUGUCGGGGUUAGGGAACACAUCGUUUACUGUGAAAAAAUUAGAGUGUUUAAAGCAGGCUUAUGCCGUUGAAUACAUUAGCAUGGAAUAAUAAGAUAGGACUUUGGCGUCUAUUUUGUUGGUUUGCACACCAAGGUAAUGAUUAAUAGGGAUAGUUGGGGGUAUUCGUAUUUAAUUGUCAGAGGUGAAAUUCUUGGAUUUAUGAAAGACGAACUUCUGCGAAAGCAUUUACCAAAGAUGUUUUCAUUA